This 73-nucleotide transfer RNA is filed under the name Necator americanus (New World hookworm). RNAcentral's name for it is "tRNA-Glu". The record is from RNAcentral. Lineage: Eukaryota; Metazoa; Nematoda; Chromadorea; Rhabditida; Ancylostomatidae.
AUCCAUCGGGCGAGAGUCGAACUCAGACCUUACCGGUGAGAGCCGUAAGUCCUAACCACUAGACCACAGUGGA